This 434-nucleotide ribosomal RNA is filed under the name uncultured bacterium. RNAcentral describes it as "partial 16S ribosomal RNA". It matches the Rfam family "Bacterial small subunit ribosomal RNA", at positions 29 to 507 of the family's 1533-position model. The record is from RNAcentral.
AGCGAACGCUGGCGGCAGGCCUAACACAUGCAAGUCGAACGAACCUUUCGGGGUUAGUGGCGGACGGGUGAGUAACACGUGGGAACGUGCCUUUAGGUUCGGAAUAACUCAGGGAAACUUGUGCUAAUACCGAAUGUGCCCUUCGGGGGAAAGAUUAAUCGCCUUUAGAGCGGCCCGCGUCUGAUUAGCUAGUUGGCUGAGGUAAUGGCUCACCAAGGCGACGAUCAGUAGCUGGUCUGAGAGGAUGAUCAGCCACAUUGGGACUGAGACACGGCCCAAACUCCUACGGGAGGCAGCAGUAGGGAAUCUUGCGCAAUGGGCGAAAGCCUGACGCAGCCAUGCCGCGUGAAUGAUGAAGGUCUUAGGAUUGUAAAAUUCUUUCACCGGGGACGAUAAUGACGGUACCCGGAGAAGAAGCCCCGGCUAACUUCGUG